This 1656-nucleotide ribosomal RNA is filed under the name ascomycete sp. ALr-1. RNAcentral's name for it is "eukaryotic LSU rRNA". It matches the Rfam family "Eukaryotic large subunit ribosomal RNA", at positions 31 to 1353 of the family's 3401-position model. Lineage: Eukaryota; Fungi; Ascomycota. The record is from RNAcentral.
AACUUAAGCAUAUCAAUAAGCGGAGGAAAAGAAACCAACAGGGAUUGCCUCAGUAACGGCGAGUGAAGCGGCAAAAGCUCAAAUUUGAAAUCUGACCUUCCAGGUCCGAGUUGUAAUUUGUAGAGGAUGUUUCGGGUAAGAUCCAGGCCUAAGUUCCUUGGAACAGGACGUCAUAGAGGGUGAGAAUCCCGUACGUGGCUCAUGAUCGCACCCAUGUGAAACUCCUUCGACGAGUCGAGUUGUUUGGGAAUGCAGCUCAAAAUGGGUGGUAAAUUUCAUCUAAAGCUAAAUAUUGGCCAGAGACCGAUAGCGCACAAGUAGAGUGAUCGAAAGAUGAAAAGCACUUUGAAAAGAGAGUUAAAAAGCAUGUGAAAUGUUGAAAGGGAAGCGCUUGCAGCCAGACUUGUUUGUAGGGUUCAGCCGUCGUUCUCGUCGGUGUAUUUCCCUAUUAUCAGGCCAGCAUCAGUUUGGGUGGAAGGUCAAAGGCCUUGGGAAUGUACCAUCCUCCGGGAUGACUUAUAGCCCUGGGUGUAAUGCUUCCUACCUAGACUGAGGCACGCGUUCGCUAGGAUGCUGGCGUAAUGGCUGUUAGCGACCCGUCUUGAAACACGGACCAAGGAGUCUAACAUCUAUGCGAGUAUUUGGGUGUCAAACCCAUAUGCGUAAUGAAAGUGAACGGAGGUGGGAACCUUUUAGGCGCACCAUCGACCGAUCCAGAUGUCUUCGGAUGGAUUUGAGUAAGAGCAUAGCUGUUGGGACCCGAAAGAUGGUGAACUAUGCCUGAAUAGGGUGAAGCCAGAGGAAACUCUGGUGGAGGCUCGCAGCGGUUCUGACGUGCAAAUCGAUCGUCAAAUUUGGGUAUAGGGGCGAAAGACUAAUCGAACCAUCUAGAUAAGUUAUUGGAUGGUACCUAGUCCUCAAUCAAUGUUGGGGGCAACGUCAAGAUUCUAUGGGAAGGCUCUCAAAUCCAACCGGGGGGCCGGGGGACUCCGGGGCUACAGACUAGAUAUUGGCGGUCAUGAAAAUGAUUAAGAUAUAGCCGGAAUGCCCUUGUGUUAAGGGCCCGUUUUUGGGUAGCUGGUUUCUGUCGAAGUUUCCCUCAGGAUAGCAGUAACGUUUUCAGUUUUAUGAGGUAAAGCGAAUGAUUAGAGGCCUUGGGGUUGAAACAACCUUAACCUAUUCUCAAACUUUAAAUAUGUAAGAAGCUCUUGUUACUUAAUUGAACGUGAGCAUUUGAAUGUAUCGUUACUAGUGGGCCAUUUUUGGUAAGCAGAACUGGCGAUGCGGGAUGAACCGAACGUGAAGUUAAGGUGCCGGAAUAUACGCUCAUCAGACACCACAAAAUGUGUUAAUUCAUCUGGACAGCCGGACGGUGGCCAUGGAAGUCGGAAUCCGCUAAGGAACGUGUAGUUGUUGCACGUCAAUUUCAGCAAGUUAAGGCUUGUGAUGACCCUGUUCUGCAGGAAGGCCUCAGGGGCUUAUCCGUAGUAGGUUGAUGCCUAUUCACAGACUAUCAGGGGUCGGCCGUAGCUGGAGUUAUGGUUAAGAUAUAGCCGUUUCGUUGUUGCAAUCCAACGAAAGCAAAGAACAACGCACCGGCCGAAUGAAUUAGCCAUGAAAAUGGAUGGCGCUCAAGCGUGUUACCUAUACUUCGCC